CUAAACACACAUAGAAGAACCAAUGAAAAGUUACCUUGGGUCGAGAGGGUAAAACCAGAGAAUAUAAAAGUGUAGGGUUUUGUUUGAGAGAAUAUCCUUCCCCACACACCACACUCAACACAGUGUGGCCAAAUGAUUUUGAGGCCAUUGUUGUUGGUGUCAACAUGCCAUUGGUGUUCACAUAAGCAAUAAUAAUCCAAUCUGCUAUGUGCCAUGCAUCUUGAUAUGAUCGAUAUGUGCUG
RNAcentral lists this long non-coding RNA (242 nucleotides) under Gossypium barbadense (sea-island cotton). RNAcentral describes it as "long non-coding RNA (GBAR_LNC014544)". Lineage: Eukaryota; Viridiplantae; Streptophyta; Magnoliopsida; Malvales; Malvaceae. The record is from RNAcentral.